UACGUAGGGUGCGAGCGUUAAUCGGAAUUACUGGGCGUAAAGCGUGCGCAGGCGGUUUUGUAAGCCAGAUGUGAAAGCCCCGGGCUUAACCUGGGAACUGCAUCUGUGACUGCAUAGCUAGAGUACGGUAGAGGGGGAUGGAAUUCCGCGUGUAGCAGUGAAAUGCGUAGAUAUGCGGAGGAACACCGAUGGCGAAGGCAAUCCCCUGGACCUGUACUGACGCUCAUGCACGAAAGCGUGGGGAGCAAACAGG
This 253-nucleotide ribosomal RNA is filed under the name uncultured bacterium. Its description in RNAcentral is "partial 16S ribosomal RNA". It matches the Rfam family "Bacterial small subunit ribosomal RNA", at positions 524 to 776 of the family's 1533-position model. The record is from RNAcentral.